This 480-nucleotide ribosomal RNA is filed under the name uncultured bacterium. RNAcentral's name for it is "partial 16S ribosomal RNA". It matches the Rfam family "Bacterial small subunit ribosomal RNA", at positions 28 to 523 of the family's 1533-position model. The record is from RNAcentral.
GACGAACGCUGGCGGCGUGCUUAACACAUGCAAGUCGAGCGAUGAAACACCUUCGGGUGCGGAUUAGCGGCGAACGGGUGAGGAACACGUGAGGAAUCUGCCUUCCACUCUGGGAUAACUCCGAGAAACCGGGGCUAAUACUGGAUACUUUCAACUGGCGGCAUCGCCGGUUGAAGAAAGUUUUUCGGUGGAAGAUGACCUCGCGGCCUAUCAGCUUGUUGGUGAGGUAAAGGCUCACCAAGGCGACGACGGGUAGCCGGCCUGAGAGGGCGACCGGCCACACUGGGACUGAGACACGGCCCAGACUCCUACGGGAGGCAGCAGUGGGGAAUAUUGGGCAAUGGAGGAAACUCUGACUCAGCGACGCCGCGUGAGGGAUGAAGGCCUUCGGGUUGUAAACCUCUUUCAGCAGGGAAUAAGCGAAAGUGAAGGUACCUGCAGAAGAAGCACCGGCUAACUAUGUGCCAGCAGCCGCGGUAA